GCACUCCCGGGGCGUCUCUAUCUCAUCGCGAGAGGAGGCGCACCUAGAGCGUACACGCUGAUACCCGAAAGAUGGUGAACUAUGCCUGGCCAGGACGAAGCCAGGGGAAACCCUGGUGGAGGUCCGUAGCGAUUCUGACGUGCAAAUCGAUCGUCGGAGCUGGGUUUAGGGGCGAAAGACCAAUCGAACCAUCUAGUAGCUGGUUCCCUCUGAAGUUUCCCUCAGGAUAGCUUGCGCUCGGAAACAACGAGUCUCAUCCGGUAGAGCGAAUGAUUAGAGGCCUUGGGGUCGAAACGACCUCAACCUAUUCUCAAACUCCAAAUAGAUGAGAACCCCGGCUUUCUUAAAACCUUUUUUAUGAAGCCGGGGGCUCGGAUCAGAGUGCCAAGUGGGCCAAUUUUGGUAAGCCGAACGGGCGCUGUGGGAUCAACCAAACGCGGGGUUAAGGCGCCUCAAUCGACGCUCAUGUGAAACCAUAAAGGCGUUGGUGCAAAGGACAGCAU
RNAcentral lists this ribosomal RNA (503 nucleotides) under Stenotus penniseticola. RNAcentral describes it as "partial large subunit ribosomal RNA". It matches the Rfam family "Eukaryotic large subunit ribosomal RNA", at positions 755 to 1243 of the family's 3401-position model. The record is from RNAcentral. Lineage: Eukaryota; Metazoa; Arthropoda; Insecta; Hemiptera; Miridae.